GAUGAAGAACGUAGCGAAAUGCGAUAAGUAGUGUGAAUUGCAGAAUUCAGUGAAUCAUCGAAUCUUUGAACGCACAUUGCGCCCCUCGGUAUUCCGUGGGGCAUGCCUGUUCGAGCGUCAUUUAACCCCUCAAGCCUAGCUUGGUAUUGGGUGCUUGUCCCGCCUCUCGCGCGGCGACUCACCUCAAGGUCAUUGGCAGCCCGCAUCUCGCCGGCCGUGAGCGCAGCACAGACGCGCUCUUGGCAACGACGGAUCGGCUCUCCAAAAGCUUAUUUCAACCACUGACCUCGGAUCAGGUAGGGAUACCCGCUGAACUUAAGCAUAUCAAUAAGCGGAGGA
Molecule: unclassified non-coding RNA, 339 nt
Filed under: soil metagenome
Description: partial contains 5.8S ribosomal RNA, internal transcribed spacer 2, and large subunit ribosomal RNA
Rfam family: 5.8S ribosomal RNA (bases 1-120)
Source: RNAcentral